Non-coding RNA from Triticum aestivum (bread wheat), 133 nucleotides. The record is from Rfam. Lineage: Eukaryota; Viridiplantae; Streptophyta; Magnoliopsida; Poales; Poaceae.
AUCCUACUACCUCCGUACGGAAAUAUUUGUCAUCAAAAUGAAUAAAAGGAGAUGUAUCUAGACGUAUUUUAGUUCUAGAUACGUCCUUUUUUUUAUUUUGAUGACAAGUAUUUUCGGACGGAGGGAGUACAAC